GGACGAACGCUGGCGGCGUGCUUAACACAUGCAAGUCGAACGGAGAUUAUUAAUGAAGCUUGCGAUUUAAUAAUCUUAGUGGCGGACGGGUGAGUAACGCGUGGGCAACCUACCCAUAAGCGGGGGAUAACAGUUGGAAACGACUGCUAAUACCGCAUAAGCUAUAGAGGUCGCAUGACCUAAAUAGUAAAGGUGGCAUUUUAAAGAUGCUAUCACUUAUGGAUGGGCCCGCGUCUGAUUAGCUAGUUGGUGGGGUAGCGGCCUACCAAGGCAACGAUCAGUAGCCGGCCUGAGAGGGUGGACGGCCACACUGGGACUGAGACACGGCCCAGACUCCUACGGGAGGCAGCAGUGGGGAAUAUUGCGCAAUGGGGGAAACCCUGACGCAGCGACGCCGCGUGAGCGAAGAAGGCCAUAGGGUCGUAAAGCUCUGUUGUAAGGGACGAAUGUUUAUCUGGCGAAUAGUCAGAUAAAGUGACGGUACCUUACCAGCAAGCCCCGGCUAACUACGUGCCAGCAGCCGCGGUAAGACGUAGGGGGCGAGCGUUGUCCGGAAUUACUGGGCGUAAAGAGCACGUAGGCGGAUAAUUAAGUCAGAUGUGAAAGACCGGGGCCCAACCUCGGGGUUGCAUCUGAAACUGGAUAUCUUGAGGGCAGGAGAGGAAAGUGGAAUUCCUGGUGUAGCGGUGAAAUGCGUAGAAAUCAGGAGGAAUACCAGUGGCGAAGGCGACUUUCUGGACUGACCCUGACGCUGAGGUGCGAAAGCGUGGGUAGCAAACAGGAUUAGAUACCCUGGUAGUCCACGCUGUAAACGAUGGAUACUAGGUGUGGGAGGUAUCGACCCCUUCCGUGCCGGAGCUAACGCAAUAAGUAUCCCGCCUGGGGAGUACGGUCGCAAGGCUG
This 903-nucleotide ribosomal RNA is filed under the name uncultured Clostridia bacterium. Its description in RNAcentral is "bacterial SSU rRNA". It matches the Rfam family "Bacterial small subunit ribosomal RNA", at positions 27 to 896 of the family's 1533-position model. The record is from RNAcentral. Lineage: Bacteria; Bacillati; Bacillota; Clostridia.